UUUAGAUAGAUUUCACAUGUAAAAAAUGAUAUCGUAUAUGCAAAAUAAAUAUCAAAAUAUUCCAAAAAUGGUCAUUUACAUCUAUUUCAUCAUUAAAAUAUCCCAUCAGCCUCUGCCACAACAAACUCUCCAUAUACUGAGUCUCCCACAUCAGUUCUUUCAACAUCUCCUGCCAGUCCAAGUGCUUCUACAACUGAGACUCAAACAACAGAACCUACAACACCGCCUGCAAGUGCAAGCCCUUCAGAUUCUCAAACAGCAGAACCCACAAGUAAGUAAUACACAAGUACAGUUGUAUGAAAAGUAUUCCAGGAAUGUUUAACCAUUCUGCUGUUAAUGUAAAUUAAAAUUGUAGUGAGUAGUCAGGGUGACAACAGAGGGGAUAAUUCACAGUU
This 395-nucleotide long non-coding RNA is filed under the name Danio rerio (zebrafish). Its description in RNAcentral is "lncRNA (ENSDARG00000117793.1)". The record is from RNAcentral. Lineage: Eukaryota; Metazoa; Chordata; Actinopteri; Cypriniformes; Danionidae.